CUAGAUCAGAAGCGAGAAUGUUGACAUGAGUAGCGACAAACAGGGUGAGAGACCCUGUCGCCGAAAGUCCAAGGGUUCCUGCUUAAAGCUAAUCUGAGCAGGGUAAGCCGGCCCCUAAGGCGAGGCCGAAAGGCGUAGUCGAUGGGAAACAGGUUAAUAUUCCUGUGCCAGGAGGAUGUGACGGAUCAGAGAGGUUGUCUGCCCUUAUCGGAUUGGGUGGGCCGCUGACUGGUUCCUGGAAAUAGCCCUCCACAAGACCGUACCCCAAACCGACACAGGUGGACUGGUAGAGUAUACCAAGGCGCUUGAGAGAACCACGUUAAAGGAACUCGGCAAAAUGCCUCCGUAAGUUCGCGAGAAGGAGGCCCCGUCCUUGGGCAGCCAUGGGCGGGGGGCACAAACUAGGGGGUGGCGACUGUUUACUUAAAACAUAGGGCUGUGCGAAGCCGUAAGGCGACGUAUACAGUCUGACGCCUGCCCGGUGCUGGAAGGUUAAAAGGAGGGGUGCAAGCUCUGAAUUGAAGCCCCAGUAAACGGCGGCCGUAACGAUAACGGUCCUAAGGUAGCGAAAUUCCUUGUCGGGUAAGUUCCGACCUGCACGAAUGGCGUAACGAUCUCCCCGCUGUCUCUAACGUGGACUCAGCGAAAUUGAACUGUGUGUCAAGAUGCACACUACCCGCGGUUAGACGGAAAGACCCCAUGAACCUUUACUCUAGCUUUGCAUUGGCAUCAGGAAUGUGAUGUGCAGGAUAGGUGGUAGGCAUCGAAGCGGGGACGCCAGUUCCCGUGGAGCCUCCCUUGAGAUACCACCCUUCGCAUUCUUGAUGUCUAACCGCGGCCCGUUAUCCGGGUCCGGGACCCUGCAUGGUGGGGAGUUUGACUGGGGCGGUCACCUCCCAAACAGUAACGGGGGCGCGCGAAGGUUGGCUCAGAGCGGUCGGAAAUCGCUCGUUGAGUGCAAUGGCAGAAGCCAGCCUGACUGUAAGACUGACAAGUCGAACAGAGACGAAAGUCGGCCAUAGUGAUCCGGUGGUCCCAAGUGGGAGGGCCAUCGCUCAACGGAUAAAAGGUACUCUGGGGAUAACAGGCUGAUGAUGCCCAAGAGCCCAUAUCGACGGCAUCGUUUGGCACCUCGAUGUCGGCUCAUCUCAUCCUGGGGCUGGAGCAGGUCCCAAGGGUACGGCUGUUCGCCGUUUAAAGAGGUACGUGAGCUGGGUUUAGAACGUCGUGAGACAGUUCGGUCCCUAUCUGCCGUGGGUGUAGGAGACUUGAGAAGAGUUGCCCCUAGUACGAGAGGACCGGGGUGAACGUUCCACUGGUGGACCAGUUGUCGUGCCAACGGCAGUGCUGGGUAGCUAUGAACGGACAGGAUAAACGCUGAAGGCAUCUAAGCGUGAAGCCCCCUUCAAAACAAGGUCUCCCUGAGGGCCGUGGAAGACCACCACGUCGAUAGGCCGGAGGUGUAAGUGCAGCAAUGCAUUCAGCUGACCAGUACUAAUUGCCC
This 1504-nucleotide ribosomal RNA is filed under the name metagenome. RNAcentral's name for it is "bacterial LSU rRNA". It matches the Rfam family "Bacterial large subunit ribosomal RNA", at positions 1277 to 2910 of the family's 2925-position model. The record is from RNAcentral.